RNAcentral lists this non-coding RNA (203 nucleotides) under Paenibacillus sp. The record is from RNAcentral. RNAcentral also lists the same sequence under 1 other name. Lineage: Bacteria; Bacillati; Bacillota; Bacilli; Caryophanales; Paenibacillaceae.
ACCGAAUAGGUGGAAACAGGUGCUUCAGCAAACGGCUGAAGCUUAAAAGGGAAGUACGGUGCAAAUCCGUCGCGGUCCCGCCACUGUUAUGGGAGCCGGAAGGUCCGGCUAUUUUUCGGCAUUGCGUCACUGGAGCUUAUUUCCGGGAAGACGCCGAAGGAGAAACCCUGAGUCAGGAGACCUGCCUGUUUUGACAACACUGC